AUUCCAGCUCCAAUAGCGUAUAUUAAAGUUGUUGCAGUUAAAAAGCUCGUAGUUGGAUUUCUGUCUCUUUUGGGAUGCGGUCCGCCCUUCAUGGGUGAGCACUGUUAUCCUGGGGACAUCCUCUCAAAGGCGUUAUGGUGCACUUAGUUGUGUGCUUAAUGAAUUUGGGAUCUUUACUUUGAAAAAAUUAGAGUGUUCAAAGCAGGCUUAUUGCUUGAAUAUAUUAGCAUGGAAUAAUGGAAUAGGACUUUGGUUCUAUUUUGUUGGUUUCUAGGACUGAAGUAAUGAUUAAUAGGGACAGUUGGGGGCAUUAGUAUUUAAUUGUCAGAGGUGAAAUUCUUGGAUUUAUGAAAGACUAACUACUGCGAAAGCAUUUGCCAAGGAUGUUUUCAUCG
Molecule: ribosomal RNA, 395 nt
Filed under: Choanoflagellata sp.
Lineage: Eukaryota; Choanoflagellata
Description: partial small subunit ribosomal RNA
Rfam family: Eukaryotic small subunit ribosomal RNA
Source: RNAcentral